UUUAUGGAGAGUUUGAUCCUGGCUCAGGAUGAACGCUGGCGGCGUGCCUAAUACAUGCAAGUCGAGCGAACGGACGAGAAGCUUGCUUCUCUGAUGUUAGCGGCGGAUGGGUGAGUAACACGUGGAUAACCUACCUAUAAGACUGGGA
This 148-nucleotide ribosomal RNA is filed under the name Staphylococcus aureus. Its description in RNAcentral is "partial 16S ribosomal RNA". It matches the Rfam family "Bacterial small subunit ribosomal RNA", at positions 1 to 143 of the family's 1533-position model. The record is from RNAcentral. Lineage: Bacteria; Bacillati; Bacillota; Bacilli; Caryophanales; Staphylococcaceae.